CUACACAGUCUUAAGUCAGCAGUUACUUACUGCUUAGCUGCUUCCCAACUGGGCAAGUCCUGUAGCCCUCAGAGGUGGGCAGGCAGUCAUUGUCACAUCAGAUCCCCAGUGAUGCAUGCUUGCAGGCUCACCCCAACACUGCUGGCGGUGACCCGUCUGUGCCCUUUCAGUCCUGACUCAUAGGAUGGAGAGGGGCAAGAAGGGGCUCCCCAUAAGAGACUUUAAGGAAAGGAGGGAGCACCUGAAAGGUGUCCACAAGCCUAUUCUUUCCUGGUUGUGUGACAAGAACCUCGUUUACAGCUAAACUGAGGAGAAAGUCCUACAACAUUUCCACCUAAGGACACUUACCUGCAUCUCACAUGUUUUGAUAUGUCACCUUUGAAUUACCAUUCAGUUAAAAUGUUUUCUGAUACCAUUGGAAUUACUUCUUUGAUCCAUUGGCUAUUUACAAGUAUAUUUCUUAAUUUCUAAAUAUAUGGGGAUUUUCCAAUUACCUUUUUGUUACUGAUUUCCAGCUCAAUUUCAUUAUGAUUUGCACAGAGAAUAUGGUUUGUAUACUCUAAUUUCAAUCAUUUCAAUUUGCUAACACUUGCCUUAUGCCCCUGCAUACAUUCAAUUGUGGUAAAUGUUCCAUGUCCACUUGAAAAUAAUUGGUAUUCUUCAGUUGCUUGUUACAGUGUUCCCUCUCUAUGUAUGUCUGAAUUAGGUUGAGUCUUUACCUACGUCGUUCAAACCUUCUAUAGUCCAUUUCACUAUUCUUUCUUCAGCCGUGUCUAAUCUACUGUUUUGAUUCAGUCUUUGAUUUUCUUUAUUAAAUAUUAUUACAAUCUAGGAUAUUCACCUGGUUCUCAGUUUUUCUGGUACCAAAUUUAUCCAUCUUGAUUUUUAAUUCCAUGCAUUAAUUGUAGUUACGUUAAAGUCUAUGUCUUAUUAUUUCUCAAGAUCUAGAUCUUCUGUGAAUAUGUUUCUAUUGUCUGUUUUCCCUCUGGAUUUUCUGUCAAAACUUAUUUUCUUAUAUGGCUUGUUCUUUUGAUAGAGUGCCAAUAUUCUGAGGCUCUUCAGCAUGUUAUCUUCUUCCAGAUGUAUUUAUUUUUUAUUCUGGUAGGCAGAGAGGCUAGAAAUGAAUUACUUUAAUCCAGUCUGGAAUUGAGAUAAUUCUAAACUGGGCUUCCCUUCUUGUGAGAUAGGCUUCUUCAGUUGAUCCUUUCUUCAAACAAAAGCUCGUGGUAUUUUUCAGAACCUCUCCUGUCUGAUAGAUCCUUAGGUCAAUUUUAAUCCUUAGACCUCUUUUACCUUGCUAAAAUUUCUGUUCAAAUUUCUCAGCCUUUCAUUCACUGCUUUCAAUUUGAAAUCAAAUGACUUGAGGGAAAAGAAUCUUCAAAUGCCAUAUUCACCUCCACUGUCUUUAUUGCUUGUUCAGGUCUCGGUCUCAAAGUUUUUCUCCCUGACUAGGUGUCUGUGAGAUGUCCAGUUCCUCAAGUUGUUCCCAAUAUGAUAUUUUGCCCCAAACAACCUAGUCAGCCUUUACCUAGUGCAACACUCAUAUGGGGGGUUAUAACCAAAAGAGUCAUAUAAUAGAACUUUAGAAUGUUGACCUGACCAAAAGGCCCAAACUAGCAGUAAAUAAAUCAAUAAUAAUAAUUAAAGUAGCUAGCAUUUGUUGACCAUUUCCUAUGCACUCAGCCACAGUCCUAAGUACUUUCGUAUAUAUAGCCCAUUUAAUCUUAAAAAUAAAUGAACAAAUUAGGUAUUAAUACCAUUUUCAUUUUACAUAUGAGGAAGGAAGUGCAUAGAAAAUUUCAGAAACUUGCCUAAAGCUACACAGAAGUAGAGCUUAGAUUUGAACCAAGACAGUUUUGCUCAGAGAUCAUAGUGCUUUAAAAUAGAAUGUUACUAUAAUAAUAUAGACAUCAAUAGCCCAAGUUACAAUGAGCAUUAUAGCUGGGGAGUCAGAGAAGAACAGCGAGCUACAAGAAAUAUUUUGAAGAAAGACUCAAAAGGUGAUCAAAUUGUUGCAUGGCAUGAAGAUGAAGGAAAGGUCUCAAUUACCUGGCCUCAAGAUCUGGAAAGUGAUCAUGUGCUGAUAGAAAUGUGAAACUGAGCUGGAGUUGGUUUAGAUGGGCUGGGGCAGUAUUCUUACAUGAAACUUUGGGAUUCUCAGUGAUUCAUAAUUCAUAAAAUGUUUGCUAUUUCAGGUAAGCCUUAUAGCCUCUGGAGGAAACAGCAAUAAGAUUAUUAUUGUUGAAUGUGAAUGGAGUACAGAAAGUAAAUCAAUUAACAUCAGCAAGCUCAUGGGAUCAAAAAGGAUAUACUUUCUCCCCCUGCCUCACACUGUGUACCAAAUCAAAAAUUUCUAUUCACUCAAGAUAGACAGUUUAACUUAAAUAUUUUUAAAUCAGUGCCUCAUGAGUGACAGACAUUUAACUUAAAUUUUUUUCAAUGCUAUUAUUUUAAAAUAUAGUUUAUGAUUCUCUCCAAUUUUCAAGGCAAUGCAUGUUCAUUGUAAAACAAAAAUUAGAAAAUAGAGCAAAGAUGAAGAAGAAAAUGAAAAUCAUCCAUAUUUCAAUACUCAAAGGUAACCAGUAUAAACAUUUUGGGGUAUAUUCUUCUAAUACAUUUCCUGUACUUAUGACCACAUAUAAUCUAUGCAGUUGGUUUUAUUCUGUGUAUGCUGUUUUGUGGCUUGCUUUUUCAUAUAAUAUCAUUCAAGCAUCCCAAUUUCUUUAAACAUUUUUGAGAACACAAUUUUUCAUUGCUGCCACAGUCUAUACUUGCCUAUGUUGGAAAAUUAUUCCAUUAGGGAUAUAUUAUGGUUGACCCUUGAACAACAUAGGUGUGGAAUUCAUGAAUAACACAAACAGUAUAGCAUUGGAUUAAAUUUUAAAUAUUAAAAAGUACUCAUAAUUUAAAAAAUAGAUAUGGUACAGCUCUGUUUAUCGAAAUGGACCAGCAGCAACAAUAUCACAGAAGCCAUGCAUACCUGCUGUGCACAGAUCAUAGGCUCUAAUACUAUACCCCACUAAGAGGAGACAGGGCUCCACUGAUAAGUGACUAUUUUUCUAGGGACAGGGGAUGGAAAGUAUAAACUCAACUUUGGACAUAUUUUUUAGACAGCAAGGAAACUUUUAUGUCACAUCAAAAGGACACAGGGGACCAGGCAUGGUGGCUCAUGCCUGUAAUCCCAAGGCUUUGGGAGGCCAAGGCAGGUGGAUCACUUGAGGCUAAGAGUUCCAGACCAGCCUGGCCAACACAGCAAAACCUAUCUUUACAAAAAUACAAAAAUUAGCAUGUAGUCCCAGCUCCUCCAGAACUGAGGCAUGAGAAUCACUAAACCCAGGAGGCGGAGGUUGUAGUGAGCCAAGAUCGUGCCAGUGCACUCCAGGCUAGGCAACAGAGAAAAACUCUAACUCAAAAAGAAAAAAAGAAUAAUGUUCAUAAUUGCUUGAAAUCCAUGGAAUCUCUAAGAAUUCAUGAUACUAAAAAAAGAGAGAGAAAGAACUCAUUUGUCACCAUCUAAGGUGACAGUUAAGGCUAUUAAGUCCAUUUCUUUGAAAAUAAGAAAAUGAAUGAAUAAUGUAUUUUGUCUUUCCUUUGCAAACAUCAUGACACCAAAGCUCCAGUUGAUACGGGCAAGCUAUGGAGAAGAAUGCUGAUGGAUCUACACAGAAGGAGCAAGUCUCUGGAAGCAGAGCCUGUGAUCUACUGGGGGACGAGGAAGACUCUCUGGAGCCGGGGAGUGAAGGAAGCAGGAAAGGGCAGGGGAACGCUACGUGAGGCUGGGUCCCAGCUGGAGAAGGGCAACACCUGGAUCCCAAGGGUAGCUCAGGAGCAUGACCUGCUCCACAGGGUCUGCCCACCUUGAGGAGCAUGCCACUACCUGCAAGCUUCCCUCUGUGCACCAUUCCCAUUUCCCUUCUGCUUCAGCCACAUGGUGUUGGUAAAGGGCAUACUGUGAGGUGCCGGAAUAUAACCUCCAUGGAUACAGGUGAAGGGGGCUGAGUUGUGGCCUCCAAAAUUCAUCUGCUGAAGCCCUAACCCCCAGGCCCUCAGAAUGUACUAUUUUUGGAGAUAGAACCUUUAAAAGGUAAUUAAAUUACAAUGAGGUCAUUAGAGUGAGCCUUAGUCCAACCUGAGUGGUAUCUUUAUAAGAAAAGGAAAUCAGGACCUAGAAACACACAGGCUGAAUAUAAGGGGAGAAGGCAGCCGCCUGCAAGCCUGGAGAGAGGCCUCAUAGGAAGCUAAUCCCACUGACGCCUUGAUCUUAGACUUCCAGCCGCCAGAACCGUGAGAACAUUAAUUACUAUUGUUUGAGCCACCUCGUCUGUGGUACUUUGUUAGGGCAGCCUGAGCAAAUGAAUGCAGCAGAGAUCUUUAUUUUGCUUACUGUUUCAUUCCCAGAACUUAGAACAGUGUCUGGCACAUAAUAAACAUAGUUAUUGAAUAAAUAAAUAAAUAAAUGUUCUAUUACUAGAGU
Long non-coding RNA from Callithrix jacchus (white-tufted-ear marmoset), 4474 nucleotides. RefSeq lists it as uncharacterized. The record is from RefSeq and is a predicted model, not a curated record. Lineage: Eukaryota; Metazoa; Chordata; Mammalia; Primates; Cebidae.